UACGAAGGGGGCUAGCGUUGCUCGGAAUCACUGGGCGUAAAGCGCACGUAGGCGGACUCUUAAGUCAGGGGUGAAAUCCUGGAGCUCAACUCCAGAACUGCCUUUGAUACUGGGAGUCUUGAGUUCGGGAGAGGUGAGUGGAACUGCGAGUGUAGAGGUGAAAUUCGUAGAUAUUCGCAAGAACACCAGUGGCGAAGGCGGCUCACUGGCCCGAUACUGACGCUGAGGAGCGAAAGCCAGGGGAGCAAACGGG
This 253-nucleotide ribosomal RNA is filed under the name uncultured bacterium. Its description in RNAcentral is "partial 16S ribosomal RNA". It matches the Rfam family "Bacterial small subunit ribosomal RNA", at positions 524 to 776 of the family's 1533-position model. The record is from RNAcentral.